RNAcentral lists this transfer-messenger RNA (391 nucleotides) under Candidatus Saccharimonadota bacterium. It matches the Rfam family "transfer-messenger RNA". From Rfam's summary of the family: Bacterial tmRNA, also known as 10Sa RNA or SsrA, is named for its dual tRNA and mRNA-like properties. Its role is to liberate the mRNA from a stalled ribosome. Lineage: Bacteria; Candidatus Saccharimonadota. The record is from RNAcentral. RNAcentral also lists the same sequence under 2 other names.
GGGGCUGAUUUUUAGCUCGACAGUGGACCUUAACAAUCUACAAUGCAAGCCGGUUUUCACACCGUUACCGUGAAAACUUAACAGAUGCAAAAACAUCGUUAAGCGAUGCAAUCGACCGCGUUUUCGCGUCUCGAAAGCUCGCACCAGCUUACGUUUAAACACGUUAAGCGACUUUUUUGGUUCAUGCCAGAUAAAACCUUGAAAGUCUUAUAUUCAUCUGGUUGCCAGCCGUAGUGCUAUUUGAGCUAUGGCUGUAAGACUAUCAAGUUGCUGAAUGUAGUAUUUUGUUUGUUUAACCACUAUAUUCAAAAGAUUUUAAAACAAGCUAAGCUUGUAGAAUUGUAGUGUCGUUAACCACUGGACGCGGGAGUGUUACCCGCCAGCUCCACCA